This is a long non-coding RNA of Stegastes partitus (bicolor damselfish), 1691 nucleotides long. RefSeq lists it as uncharacterized. The transcript is spliced from 2 exons. The record is from RefSeq and is a predicted model, not a curated record. Lineage: Eukaryota; Metazoa; Chordata; Actinopteri; Pomacentridae.
UCUGUGGCUCCGCCCACAGGAAGCAGAUGACCGAGUGAGCGCUGGUUGAGACGGAGGGGAUUUUCCACUGCCUCAUUGUUUUGAAGUUACAAGAUUGUUUUGUCUUAUGAACUGUACAAUACAAACGCUACCGGCUCCAAAGCAGAAACACAGUGUGGCCAAAGUGAACCAGUGGCACCAACACGGUGCUGAAUUUAAAUGUGAACAGCAGAACUUCCUCAGGUUUGGACCUAUGGGCUGAGUCUGUCCAUGUUUGCUUACUUUUUGAUACAAAGCUGCAAAAUGAGACUUUGCUAAGGAACAUGAACAGAAGCCUGAACUUCGGGAGCCUGUUCAGAUGAAACCACGAUGACUUUGUUGGGCUCAGAUGGAGUCCAGAUGUUCGGUGUGAACCUGACCAGGGUCACCACAGUGGAUGCAUGGUCCUGACAGUGAAGCACGGAGGUGGCAGCAUCAUGAUGUGGGCUGCUUUAGUGCAAAAGGUGACAUUUGUAGAUGCACCAUGAAUGUGUGUGAAUAUACUGAACCUCAAAGGACUCUCAGUGUGCAGAGGCUUGAAGAGAAGGAAUAUUUCAGUGGUAGUGAGUGUAAACUACGACGUGGCCAAGCGCUCGUCUGACUUGAAUCCAUUUGCAGACCUUUAAAGUUUAAGCAACGCAAAGUCUGACAAAUGGCAGUAAUUCGAUUUCCUCGAUGCUGAUUGAGUUUGUCGGCAGCUGAUGAUGAAUCACAAAACUCUGACGUUUCCUUAAUUGCAGUCAACGACGAGAAUCUAAUCCAGCCCAACCCGACUGAUCCUCCUGAGCCUCCUCAGAUAACUCCGACCAAGCUGCUGUGUUCCAUCCUGCUGUUCAUCCUCUACACCAUCAUACUCAUCCUGUGUAUCUACACCAUGAAAAAACUGGCUAGAGCUCGAGCUGAAGCUAAACGCAGACCUGCUGGCGUCUAGUUCUGGACUGAGGAGAGGAGCAGCGACGCUCUACGCUUUCAUAUUUACGAUCACAUCUUCUUCUUCUUCUGAGCACUCUGCUGCUGCGACGCCGACCGACCAAAUGGUGUCGCGUAUUUAACAGGCUUGAUUCUCAGCGUCAUGUCAACAUUAUAGUUCUUGCAUUUCUUGUUGUCAUGCAGCAAUAUUGAUUAUUAUUAAUCUGCACUUUCUGUAUUUGUUUUGGAAGUACUUGUUCUCUUGUGAAGGCUUUUCAUUAUUAUUAUGAUUGUUGUUAAAGUCUGAGGUUCAAACCAGAAAACACAGGAAGUAUUUAAAGAAGAGCUCACAAAUGUCAGAAAAAGAAGUGAAGAUGAAGAAUAUUUAGUGCGACUUUUCUUCUUUUGUUUUGAACUUUUCUGAGCACAAAAUACGAGAUUUACUGGUUGUAUGAUUCCCGGUGAGGUUUAAUUUAUUAAAUUAAAUUAAGUUAAAUUACUUUAAUUCAACAAUUUCGCUGAGGUUUGCACCAAAGGAUCAAUAAAGUUCUAUUCUAUUCUACUUACAUGUUUUAUGAUGUUGAGCAUCACGUUUUUUAAGAGUUUAACUCACUGGAAGUUUGCUGGUGUUGAAUUUUUUGAAGUUUAAAAGAAAGAAAGCAAGAAACGGGACAUUGGAGAUGCAGUGUUUAAGCUACUAUGAAUGAAUUCUAAGAAUCUGAAGAGCUGAAGGAUUAAAAAUGAAUAAAGAUGAGAAAACUGUU